GAUGAACGCUGACAGAAUGCUUAACACAUGCAAGUCUUUGGCAAAGCUGUGCUUGCACAGCCUAGCCAAGGCGGACGGGUGAGUAACGCGUAAGGAACUUGCCCUGCAGUCAGGGAUAACAGACGGAAACGACUGAUAAGACCUGGUAAAGUCAGGCGGACUCAUGUCCAGCCUGAUGAAAAGAGAUGCUGCAGGAGAGCCUUGCGUCCUAUUAGCUUGUUGGUGGGGUAACGGCCCACCAAGGCGAUGAUAGGUAGCCGGCCUGAGAGGGUGGACGGCCACAAGGGGACUGAGAUACGGCCCUUACUCCUACGGGAGGCAGCAGUGGGGAAUAUUGGACAAUGGGGGCAACCCUGAUCCAGCAAUUCUGUGUGCACGAUGAAGGUUUUCGGAUUGUAAAGUGCUUUCAGCAGGGAAGAAAAAAUGACGGUACCUGCAGAAGAAGCGACGGCUAAAUACGUG
This 462-nucleotide ribosomal RNA is filed under the name uncultured bacterium. Its description in RNAcentral is "partial 16S ribosomal RNA". It matches the Rfam family "Bacterial small subunit ribosomal RNA", at positions 28 to 507 of the family's 1533-position model. The record is from RNAcentral.